UAUUUUCAAUGAUUUAUGCCAAGCUGCCAAGAAGUGGCAUAAUAGGAGCGUUACGAACGUUUCUACAACCAUCUAUGGAUGUUCCAUCGUUAUUCUUCUGUAUUAUUUGGAUCAUUUGCAUGACUCAGUGGCACCCCAGAACAAACGUGGAACACCACGAAUCAAAUACUUUGAUAGGAAUAUUAUUCAAGCCCUGACAAGAGCUGACAAGGGCAAGAUACGCAAAGGAGAAGAAGCAUUUGGACAUUGCUCGUUCCGAAGCUCCUCAGAGACCUGCUACACAGAUGUACCACCCGUUCAUGCACAAUUCAAGGCAUGAUUCUAUUUAUAUAUU
Molecule: long non-coding RNA, 334 nt
Organism: Zea mays
Lineage: Eukaryota; Viridiplantae; Streptophyta; Magnoliopsida; Poales; Poaceae
Exons: 3
Source: RefSeq, a predicted model, not a curated record